This 511-nucleotide ribosomal RNA is filed under the name uncultured bacterium. RNAcentral's name for it is "partial 16S ribosomal RNA". It matches the Rfam family "Bacterial small subunit ribosomal RNA", at positions 28 to 507 of the family's 1533-position model. The record is from RNAcentral.
GAUGAACGCUGGCGGCGUGCCUAAUACAUGCAGUCGAACGAAACUUCUUUAUCACCGAGUGCUUGCACUCACCGAUAAAGAGUUGAGUGGCGAACGGGUGAGUAACACGUGGGCAACCUGCCCAAAAGAGGGGGAUAACACUUGGAAACAGGUGCUAAUACCGCAUAACCAUAGUUACCGCAUGGUAACUAUGUAAAAGGUGGCUAUACUACCGCUUUUGGAUGGGCCCGCGGCGCAUUAGCUAGUUGGUAGGGUAAAGGCUUACCAAGGCAAUGAUGCGUAGCCGAAUUGAGAGGUUGAUCGGCCACAUUGGGACUGAGACACGGCCCAAACUCCUACGGGAGGCAGCAGUAGGGAAUCUUCCACAAUGGGCGAAAGCCUGAUGGAGCAACGCCGCGUGGGUGAAGAAGGUCUUCGGAUCGUAAAACCCUGUUGUUAGAGAAGAAAGUGCGUGAGAGUAACUGUUCACGUUUCGACGGUAUCUAACCAGAAAGCCACGGCUAACUACGUG